UUUGUCUCUUUUCUAGAGUAGUAUAUAUUGGGGUCCACUAAAACUGGGAAUUCUCAGGUUUAUUUGAUCCACCCAGACAGACAAGCUUAGAACAUCAACGCAGACAAUGCGGAAAAUGCGAGACAUGUGAUCCGCAUACAGGUCACAAGGAUUGUAUGAUCAUAAUCAUCUAACUAAUUUUCUCGUCCAAACUAACAUAUAUAUAAAAACAUAAACAGGGAUCAGGUACGAAAUUAACUCCAACUCUCGUAAUCUACUCCCUCUGGGAGUGCUUGCUGGUACUCCACGGCCGUUGUGUACGCGUCUUGUUUGUGCUUUGCCAUCUUGCUCUGCCGUUUGUCACCAGAUCCUACUCUAAUUUCCUCUGCUGAACUAAAUCCUCACUAUUUUCACCGAACAUAAUUUGUAAAGCAUACAACACCAUUGUUAUAACAAAAGACAAUAAAAUUGAAAUUAAAGAUGAAAAAAAAAUGUUCUAACACGCUAACAAUUUAAUACAUCAACUUAACUAUAUUUAAGAAAUUAUGAAGAAGUAAUAUGUUCAAAUUAAUGCACACACUUAUAAUCUCAACAUUAUUCUCAGAAAAUGUGAAAUGAAUAUAUAUUGUUCAUUAUGUCUUUUUUUUCUCUCCUUUGACCAUACAUUCUAUAUCAUUUCAUCGUCAUCUUCUGGAACAAUAAUUUCUUUUUACACAAUAGAUGAAAUUAUUUACCACAUUUGCAGGAAUUAACUAGAAAAAUAAAAAAAAUAUAAUCAAUGAUUAGUAAAGAAGAUAAUGACAAAUAUGGUGAAAAAAGGACCCAAAAAAAUGAUGCCACUUUUCAAUGGUUAACUCACCAAUGUUUGUCUUCCGAUGACAUCAACAUGAGAUUGUAUUUUAUCCCAUCUCCAGUAAAACUCAAUGCUGACAAAAAUCUUUAUUUUCUUGAAAAAAUACAUUCUAUUAACAUCUUGUGUGCCCUCUCAAGAUUAGCGCAUAAAAGCGUCUAGUUUUUUUGGUUAGAGCAGACAUGUGAGCUCUGCUAGGGUUUCUAGAAAAGGAGUGGCUGAUAAUACAGUUGAGGAGAGGGACCUCCUCCAAAGAAGCACGAAGAAGAUUAAAGAUGGUGCUAGACAUAUAAGAGUGAAUCUUCGAAAUCAUAUGCGAAUAAACUGCAUCAUCCAAUGGGGGGUGCAGAUGGUGUGGGAGUGGAGAUAGAAAAGGAAGUCGAUGAUAACGAGACAAUUUCUAGGGAUGGACCAAGUAUCCCACUAUCGUAUGUAGAGUUAUUCAGAUGACCAUUCAUGGCUUAACACCUUGGUACGUGGUUAAUGUGUUGGAAAGGAGGGCGAAUUUUCAUCUCAUUGAAGCAAAGAUUCAGAGGAGCUGGACAACAUUCAAAUUAUUGAUCUAUACGAUGGUUUCUACUAGGUGGUUUUCAGUAGUCAAGAGGAUUAUAAUUUGGCUCUUUAUGGGAAACCAUGGAUGGUCGCUGACCACUAUCAAAUUGCUCAACGAUGGAAACCAUUCUUUUUAAUGAAUGAGGAAACGACCAAGCAUGUGGCGGUUGGUUUAGGAUUCAGUGAUUGCCUAUUGAGCUCUAUAAUAAUGUCUUCUUGAAGAGGAUUGGUGAUAACUUGGGGAAGUUUUUGAAGGUGGUUAGACUUAUGUCUAUAAUAUAGACUCUAUUAUAGUCACAUGGAAAGUUUGCGAGGAUUUGCAUUGAAUUGGAUUUAGACAUGCCUCUAGUUCCUCAUAUUUAGAUCAGGGGAUACAAACUGAAUUUGGAGUAUGAAGGCCUCCAUUCAAUUUGUUUCCAAUGUGGUCGUUUUGGCCAAAAGAAGGAUCACUGUGUAGAACAGGUGGGGGUGGAGAUGAGGCUCAGUCAGGGAGAAUAGUGGUGAUGUCCAACAGGUGGUGGAGGACUUACAAAACAAGAAGGUACAGAAUAAGGCUGAUGUCAGUCCUAUUGGAGGACCCAGGCAGAAUAAUGGAAAUAAAUGAGGAAGGAAGCAGUUUUGGCAAGUGGAUGAUUGUCCAACGGUCUAUCAUGAGGAAAAAAGGAAACCUUACAAAAAAGAAGGAAGAUUUGGGUGGAGGACAGAUAAAAGGAAAUGUAUCUAAGAUUCCUGUUGGUGGCAAUAAAUUCGGGAUUCUGGUGGAAAAUAACAAUGAUAAGGAGAUAUCAUUAUUGGAUAAUGGGGGCAUUCUGACUAAAAGUGAUGAUGCAG
Molecule: long non-coding RNA, 2212 nt
Filed under: Glycine max (soybean)
Lineage: Eukaryota; Viridiplantae; Streptophyta; Magnoliopsida; Fabales; Fabaceae
Description: long non-coding RNA (GMAX_LNC003512)
Source: RNAcentral